UACGGGGGGGGCAAGCGUUGUUCGGAAUUACUGGGCGUAAAGGGCUCGUAGGCGGCCAACUAAGUCAGACGUGAAAUCCCUCGGCUUAACCGGGGAACUGCGUCUGAUACUGGAUGGCUUGAGUUCGGUAGGGGAGUGGGGAAUUCCUAGUGUAGCGGUGAAAUGCGCAGAUAUUAGGAGGAACACCGGUGGCGAAGGCGCCACUCUGGGCCGAAACUGACGCUGAGGAGCGAAAGCAUGGGUAGCAAACAGG
RNAcentral lists this ribosomal RNA (253 nucleotides) under uncultured bacterium. Its description in RNAcentral is "partial 16S ribosomal RNA". It matches the Rfam family "Bacterial small subunit ribosomal RNA", at positions 524 to 776 of the family's 1533-position model. The record is from RNAcentral.